UUACGGUCAAAUCACGCUGAAAACACCGGUUCUCGUUCGAUCACCGAAGUUAAGCAUCGUAGAGCCAGGUCAGUACUGUGC
Non-coding RNA from Acanthosepion pharaonis, 81 nucleotides. Lineage: Eukaryota; Metazoa; Mollusca; Cephalopoda; Sepiida; Sepiidae. The record is from the annotation of a GenBank genome assembly.